GGAGAGAUGGCAGAGUGGUCGAAUGCGGUGGUCUUGAAAACCAUUGUACUGCAAGGUACCGGGGGUUCGAAUCCCUCUCUCUCCGCAA
This 88-nucleotide transfer RNA is filed under the name Ancylomarina longa. Its description in RNAcentral is "Marinifilaceae bacterium T3-2 S1-C tRNA-Ser". It matches the Rfam family "tRNA". From Rfam's summary of the family: Transfer RNA (tRNA) molecules are approximately 80 nucleotides in length. Their secondary structure includes four short double-helical elements and three loops (D, anti-codon, and T loops). The record is from RNAcentral. Lineage: Bacteria; Pseudomonadati; Bacteroidota; Bacteroidia; Marinilabiliales; Marinifilaceae. RNAcentral also lists the same sequence under 1 other name.